ACGCAAAAGAAAAAAUCAGCGCACCCACGUACGCAUGCACGCACGACUAAACUCAGAAAACCAACCCACCUUUCUCCCGUCCCCGCUCAAAAACAGAAAAGAAGGCUAAAAGAUUGGAACACACGCACCCACGACCCAUCUGUCCUCAACCUCCUCUCUUCCGAUUGAGUCUCCUUCCCCAGAAAAAAUCGCCGCCGCCUGUGGUCGCCGCCUUCAUAGCCGCCUCACGAUCCGCCGCCGCCUGUGCUCGCCGCCCUCAUAGCCGCCUCACGAUCCACCGUCACGCUCCUUAUGUAUCUAGAAUGAUGAGGGAAUGCAUCCUGUCCUGUUGCUUGCAUCGGCCAUGGAAAAGAGAUGACUAGGAGAAGAUCCAGCACCACAGCGAGGGCGCCUUGUCCCCGGCGAGCGUCAUCGCAUUGGAUAUGGAUCAGAGGUUGAAGUUAUGACGCGUGGAAAGGCGCGGGGAGGCAGGAACGGGAGCGGCAAGGCGCAGCAGUGGAGGAGGAGCACCGGAGCAAGAUUACGACCUGCGUACGACCUCGUCAGCUCGGACUGGAUGGAGGACAUGGCUCGAGGUAAGCAGUUCUGGGUACUUGAACGUCAUCUUAUCUCAUCUUGGAGAUCUUAUAAAAUUCUGAAUAUGUAUGCUCACUGUAAUCUGAAUACUGACUCGGGUGUGUGAUACGUGGAUGCAUCACUAAGAAGAUACAAGUCUAUGGGGCAUCUUUCUAAAGGAACUUGAUGUAAUUGCUCUUAUACUGUCUUAUGCAAACUAAUAUUUUGGCUAUCAAAGUUGUGUUGUAAGAACUGAUGAUUGGAUCUUCUAAAUAUAAUCGUGUUACUGAAACAGUGAUCUUUUCUCCGUCUACUAGAAUAACCGACUAUUGUUGCACAACCCCCAUCCUUAAGCUAUUCUGUAAUUUUAGUUUUUUUCAAACCGAGGUUAAUUCCUUCGCAUUUAAUAGCAGUGCGUGUGGCAAUGCUUCGUCAUGCUUGUUUUCAUUGGUCGUGUUACGAGUGCAGGAUUCGAAGAAUUUCCAGUGGGGAAAUCAAUGGGGACAUUAACUUCAACUAGGAAAAGUUGCUAUAAAAUAAGAUCGGAGUCAUAACCUUGGUGGAGCACAUUCGUCGUUAACAUCAUGCAUGCAUAAAGAUGAUGCCUAUGACCAAAUAUCAUCAUUCUCCUGCCCAUACUGUUGAAUUUAGCCAACCAGAUGUUUUAAAGCAAAGGCACAUGAUGAAAUAUAUAUUGGUUGCAACUGGUAGCUAUGCACAGGCUAUCCACAUUCUGUAUUACAUGAGAAGGUUUUAGAUCACUUUUAUGGGUGAUGGGAAUGGUAACAAAGUUUUCUUAGCUCCUUUUGUGUUCUUCUGCUUGUGUCUCUGUGCUUUCAAAAUAUUUAAUUUUCUUCCACCUGAUUUACUCAUGGUGAUUUACAAAAUAAAAAAAAUUACGGUACAGGGUACCUACAUAUAUCUAAAACCAUAACCACUGCCAAGAAGCAUAACACAUUUUGCUAGCUCAUCUGAUAUGAAGUAAUAGCUAGCUCCUGCAACUAAAUAUCACCAUUGAUGUAGGCCAGAGUAAUCCAGAAGAAACCUAAAAUAACGAAUAUAAUAUUUUCCUUCCUUGAUAACCCAAAGGCAGAUAAUAGAUGCCAAACUAAGUAGGUUUCGAAAUUGCAACAUGAAAUUCAGUAUUAAUAUGUUAAUAUCAAGAAUUAUUCAUGUGAAACCGGGUGCUUGACUUUGAGUUGGUAGCGUUCCCGUUACUCGCUCGAAUGUUUUUUUGAAAGGUUUUAAUUGUAACAGGAUUUCUUUACCACCUUGUAUUCAUUCGGUAGUUUGCGCUUUAUUUGUAAAGCGAGAUGAAAGUCUGUUUCAAGAACUUUCAUGUGAAGCACCAAGUCAACGACUAUCUAACUUUUCUCAUGUAGCAUGCCAUUGCAGAUAUAUUGCCGUUGAACUAGCUUCUAUCUGGAAUGGGACAAAUCUGAAGUAGAUUUUGCUAUAGAAAACAAAAUCUCUAAGGUGGGAUCGGGAUAGCGCUAGAGAAAUGAUGUACAUGGUGGCUGAGAGGGAGGGGUCAAAAGAAUACAUCCACAUUUCUAACUACGUGGUGCACACAUAAUAGUACGAGGGAAUGGCAUGUGUCAUCUAUAACACGUGCGCGCUCUUUGUUCGAACGUUCAACUGGGAGCAAUUCCAUCUGAUUUGGCAACGAGCAUUGCAGCAAUACAUGCUACGUCUUAGAAACUACUAAAAAAUGUAAUAUAUCUGUGCAUUCUACCCUGCCUAGAGUUUUGCUUAUUUUGGCCCUUCCGUCCAUUGAAUUCAGAAAGACUUUCAAAACUCGACCAGUUUCAGAAUUCAUGCAAGAAAAUGCUAUAUUGAGCGAAGAUACUGCCUAGAAAGUCUGAUGUUAAGAAAGAAGAUAUUAAGAAAACUUUACAGUAGUUGUUGUUGUUGUCAUGGUGAGGCGUGCAUGCAUUCACCACAUGGGGACUGGACGCCGCCAACAACCACUUGGGUGGCUGUGCCACCCCGCUCAGAGAGGGGUUUUCGAUUUGGGGUGUUAUAGGUUUGUAUGAUUUCAAUGGUGGCAGUGGCGAGGGUCUAAAUGCUGAGAGGUGAUAAAUGCUGAGGACACUUUUUUUUGAAUCGACAUAUGUUGCCCUUGAGGAAUGAGCACAUAAUUAUGUAUGUUCUUUUGCCAUACAUAUGUUGUGCUUGACGAAUGAACACAUAAAGGAAUCAAUUGCAAUAUGCGUGUUCUU
Molecule: non-coding RNA, 2777 nt
Organism: Triticum urartu
Lineage: Eukaryota; Viridiplantae; Streptophyta; Magnoliopsida; Poales; Poaceae
Source: RefSeq, a predicted model, not a curated record